CCUGAAGCAACCCUUUCGAGUCUUGCUUGCACCCUGGCGUUUCGGGAAUUGGCAUUCAUGUUGCGACAGCAACAUCCUCGAGCUGCAUGAUGAAUAUGGCACUUGGGACGAGGCCUACAAACGGUGCUGCUCCCUUGGAAUGGACCUCCUUUCAGUCCACAAUCCAAACAAGCAAUACUGCUUGGGCAAUCCUUACA
Long non-coding RNA from Cloeon dipterum, 197 nucleotides. RefSeq lists it as uncharacterized. The transcript is spliced from 3 exons. The record is from RefSeq and is a predicted model, not a curated record. Lineage: Eukaryota; Metazoa; Arthropoda; Insecta; Ephemeroptera; Baetidae.